RNAcentral lists this ribosomal RNA (565 nucleotides) under uncultured Pezizomycotina. RNAcentral describes it as "SSU rRNA". It matches the Rfam family "Eukaryotic small subunit ribosomal RNA", at positions 185 to 749 of the family's 1831-position model. Lineage: Eukaryota; Fungi; Ascomycota. The record is from RNAcentral.
GCCCUUGGAAGGGAUGUAUUUAUUAGAUUAAAAACCAAUGCCCUUCGGGGCUCACUGGUGAUUCAUGAUAACUCCUCGAAUCGCAUGGCCUUGUGCCGGCGAUGGUUCAUUCAAAUUUCUUCCCUAUCAACUUUCGAUGUUUGGGUAUUGGCCAAACAUGGUUGCAACGGGUAACGGAGGGUUAGGGCUCGACCCCGGAGAAGGAGCCUGAGAAACGGCUACUACAUCCAAGGAAGGCAGCAGGCGCGCAAAUUACCCAAUCCCGACACGGGGAGGUAGUGACAAUAAAUACUGAUACAGGGCUCUUUUGGGUCUUGUAAUUGGAAUGAGUACAAUUUAAAUCCCUUAACGAGGAACAAUUGGAGGGCAAGUCUGGUGCCAGCAGCCGCGGUAAUUCCAGCUCCAAUAGCGUAUAUUAAAGUUGUUGUGGUUAAAAAGCUCGUAGUUGAACCUUGGGCCUGGCUGGCCGGUCCGCCUCGCCGCGUGUACUGGUCCGGCCGGGCCUUUCCCUCUGUGGAACCCCAUGCCCUUCACUGGGUGUGGCGGGGAACCAGGACUUAAGGGC